This 207-nucleotide ribosomal RNA is filed under the name uncultured bacterium. RNAcentral describes it as "partial 16S ribosomal RNA". It matches the Rfam family "Bacterial small subunit ribosomal RNA", at positions 568 to 774 of the family's 1533-position model. The record is from RNAcentral.
AGCGUAGACGGAGUGGCAAGUCUGAUGUGAAAACCCGGGGCUCAACCCCGGGACUGCAUUGGAAACUGUCAAUCUGGAGUACCGGAGAGGUAAGCGGAAUUCCUAGUGUAGCGGUGAAAUGCGUAGAUAUAUGGAGGAACACCGGAGGCGAAGGCGGCUUACUGGACGGUAACUGACGUUGAGGCUCGAAAGCGUGGGGAGCAAACA